Molecule: ribosomal RNA, 235 nt
Filed under: uncultured Staphylococcus sp.
Lineage: Bacteria; Bacillati; Bacillota; Bacilli; Caryophanales; Staphylococcaceae
Description: partial 16S ribosomal RNA
Rfam family: Bacterial small subunit ribosomal RNA
Source: RNAcentral
GGUGAGUAACACGUGGAUGACCUACCUAUAAGACUGGGAUAACUUCGGGAAACCGGAGCUAAUACCGGAUAAUAUUUUGAACCGCAUGGUUCAAAAGUGAAAGACGGUCUUGCUGUCACUUAUAGAUGGAUCCGCGUUGCAUUAGCUAGUUGGUAAGGUAACGGCUUACCAAGGCAACGAUGCAUAGCCGACCUGAGAGGGUGAUCGGCCACACUGGAACUGAGACACGGUCCAG